UAGGGAAUCUUCGGCAAUGGGGGGAACCCUGACCGAGCAACGCCGCGUUAGUGAAGAAGGUUUUCGGAUCGUAAAGCUCUGUUGUUAAGGAAGAACGAGUGUGAGAAUGGAAAGUUCAUACUGUGACGGUACUUAACCAGAAAGGGACGGCUAACUACGUGCCAGCAGCCGCGGUAAUACGUAGGUGGCAAGCGUUGUCCGGAUUUAUUGGGCGUAAAGCGAGCGCAGGCGGUCAAUUAAGUCUGAUGUGAAAGCCCCCGGCUCAACCGGGGAGGGUCAUUGGAAACUGGUUGACUUGAGUGCAGAAGAGGAGAGUGGAAUUCCAUGUGUAGCGGUGAAAUGCGUAGAUAUAUGGAGGAACACCAGUGGCGAAGGCGACUCUCUGGUCUGUAACUGACGCUGAGGCUCGAAAGCGUGGGUAGCAAACAGG
This 430-nucleotide ribosomal RNA is filed under the name Bacteroidota bacterium. RNAcentral's name for it is "Bacteroidetes bacterium partial 16S ribosomal RNA". It matches the Rfam family "Bacterial small subunit ribosomal RNA", at positions 355 to 776 of the family's 1533-position model. The record is from RNAcentral. Lineage: Bacteria; Pseudomonadati; Bacteroidota.